CCUACGGGAGGCAGCAGUGAGGAAUAUUGGUCAAUGGGCGCGAGCCUGAACCAGCCAAGUAGCGUGAAGGAUGACUGCCCUACGGGUUGUAAAUUUCUUUUAUAAAGGCAUAAAGUGAGGCACGUGCGCCUUUUUGUACGUAUUUUAUGAAUAAGGAUCGGCUAACUCCGUGCCAGCAGCCACGGUAAUACGGAGGAUCCGAGCGUUAUCCGGAUUUAUUGGGUUUAAAGGGAGCGUAGAUGGGUUGGUAAGUCAGUUGUGAAAGUUUGCGGCUCAACCGUAAAAUUGCAAUUGAUACUGGCAGCCUUGAGUACAGUUGAGGUAAGCGGAAUUCGGUGUGUAGCGGUGAAAUGCGUAGAUAUCACGAAGAACUCCGAUUGCGAAGGCAGCCUACUAGACUGCCACUGACAUUGAUGCUCGAAAGUGUGGGUAUCAAACAGGAUUAGAUACCCUAGUAGUC
This 460-nucleotide ribosomal RNA is filed under the name uncultured bacterium. RNAcentral describes it as "partial 16S ribosomal RNA". It matches the Rfam family "Bacterial small subunit ribosomal RNA", at positions 338 to 795 of the family's 1533-position model. The record is from RNAcentral.